Molecule: ribosomal RNA, 408 nt
Filed under: uncultured bacterium
Lineage: Bacteria
Description: partial 16S ribosomal RNA
Rfam family: Bacterial small subunit ribosomal RNA
Source: RNAcentral
AGUGAACGCUGGCGGCGUGCCUAAUACAUGCAAGUCGAAGGUAGUGGCGCGCGGGUGGGUAAUAUAUAGCUAAACUGCCCCUUGCUGGAGGACAACCGAUAGAAAUGACUGCUAAUACUCCAUAGCCAGGGAUGUGACUAUAUCGUAUCAGCUCGUCGGUGGGGUUACGGCCUACCGAGGCUAUGACGGGUAACUGGUCUGAGAGGAAGAGCAGUCACCUCGGAGCGGAGACACGGUCGGGAAUCUUGCGGGAGGCAGCAGAAGCGAAUAGUGCUCAAGGGGGGAAGCCAUGACGCAGCAACGCGUCUUAGAGGAUGACACUUUUCGGGGCGUGAAUUCCUGUUGAUAGGUAGACGGUACCUAAAGAAUAAGCACCGGCUAACUCCGUGCCAGCCGCCGCGGUAAUAC